This is a small nucleolar RNA of Echinops telfairi (small Madagascar hedgehog), 135 nucleotides long. RefSeq annotates it as small nucleolar RNA SNORA9. The record is from RefSeq and is a predicted model, not a curated record. The transcript has a single exon. Lineage: Eukaryota; Metazoa; Chordata; Mammalia; Afrosoricida; Tenrecidae.
UGGCAUGCUUCCAGCAUGCCUGGGUCUGGAUUGACCCUGUGCAUUCCCCCAGUGCUUGCAAGAACAGUGUUGAAAUAGUUUGAGGCCUUGCUCUGGACCAUCUCUGAAGCGAGGCUAUAGAAAUUUCAGACAGAG